RNAcentral lists this small RNA (1444 nucleotides) under Cryptococcus neoformans H99. Its description in RNAcentral is "Cryptococcus neoformans var. grubii H99 hypothetical RNA". The record is from RNAcentral. Lineage: Eukaryota; Fungi; Basidiomycota; Tremellomycetes; Tremellales; Cryptococcaceae.
UCUACUCCACCCCGCCGCCAGCUUCACCGGCGCCUCAUUACCUCCUCAUGCAUGCUGGACUACAAGACACCGUAUCAAAUGCCCUCAUAGGGGAAUGCUGGGCCUGAGCCAUGCAUAGCAGCCAUCCCCAAGUAACUCUGUCCUCCCGCAGGCAUGAAAUUGGUUCCGCGCGUCGACAACUGGCCUGGCUUUGCAUAACUUUGGCCCUAUGCUCGACAUCAAAGAGGGUGAUGCAGUUUGCAAAAGGCCAUUCUACAAAAUUGAGAGUACGGCAGGGCCACUAUCAAAUAAUGCGACAAGAUACCAGGAUACAUCGCUAGCAGACACUUUGUUACAUGUGAGAUUAUGAAAAAAAUGGAGCAGUCCAGCUGCUAGAGUAAAGGUGGGACAAUAACAGGCUCUCGAGGUCUUACCAGACUAUUGAAGCACACAGAGAAACAGCACCCGUGAGAGUUAUUCCGAUUACAGAACCAAGAUUCAAGGGCAUGGACAAAGUCGCGGAAUUUUGAGCAUGAGACAUAACGGCGGAAGCGUUAGUCUGGGCUGUGGUAGCAGAAGCAUCAGUCGCGGCAGCGGCGGCUCCAUUGACCGCGACGGAUUUCUCUGUUGAAGACGCUGUGGCGGCGGAAGUAUUGCUACGCGGUUGGGUUGAAUGCAGAUGGUGAUUCCGUCCAAGCAACAUCGGCAUCACCGCGCCAACUGUCAACAGCACUUGGGCUAUCCGCAUAACAUCGUACUGUCGUCGAGUCUGCUCAUGGUCAUACGAGGGGUGGCUGGCACUGAAGUGGACAUAGAUAUAGCCGUGCUGUUGUAGGUUGGUCAGCUAUUAUUGCAAUGACAGCUGCUUUCUAACCGCGUCAUGGUUCACGACGCGUCUUCGGCCACAACGAUCCUGGGUUUGUCACUCACGAAGGGAGAGUUCCAACGCCAUUGUAUCCAUUUGGACCAGUGAUAACGAUAGUAUGCCCAUCCUAACAAUACAAGUCAUCAGUUUUUCUGGUAACUAGUCUCCCUGCGGAAAGCAAGACCGUACAUACCUCGUCAAUACGAGUCGCCAGUCGCUGCGCCAGGCAGAACUGAGCAGACAAAAGAACAAAAAGGAACGUGAAUAAGAAACGAGGCAUUGCGUUAAUUGUCGAACUGAAGAAAAGAGAAGAUGUAGAAAAAUGAAGGUCUACGUAGACUACUAGCUACAAAUUAUAAUACCUGGAGAAGAGAGAAAAGACAAAAAGUAAACAAAGGAGGGUUGGGGUCAGGAGGCUCGGGAUAGCGAGAGACGCGUCUUCUUGGUAUUAUCCGUCUUUAUAGUUUGGCGUGGACUGGCAUUCAGGGCCGGCGUGCGACUCCCCAGUGAAAAGAGGGUGCGGGUUUUUGACAUCUGCUGGACUGAUCUGAGGGAUAUGGGUGUGGUUGUGGGACCGGAGAAUGGAAAGAUGCAUGUGUG